This 182-nucleotide ribosomal RNA is filed under the name Monothecium aristatum. Its description in RNAcentral is "5.8S ribosomal RNA". The stretch from base 1 to 78 matches the Rfam family "5.8S ribosomal RNA", at positions 79 to 154 of the family's 154-position model. The record is from RNAcentral. Lineage: Eukaryota; Viridiplantae; Streptophyta; Magnoliopsida; Lamiales; Acanthaceae.
AUCCCGUGAACCAUCGAGUCUUUGAACGCAAGUUGCGCCCGAAGCCUUCGGGCCGAGGGCACGCCUGCCUGGGCGUCACGCAUCGCGUCGCCCCCCCCUCCCUCGCUCCCUCCCACGGGGAGCGUGCAGGACGGGGGGGGCGGAGACUGGCCUCCCGUGCGCCCCCGUCGCGCGGCCGGCCC